This 232-nucleotide long non-coding RNA is filed under the name Sorghum bicolor (sorghum). Its description in RNAcentral is "long non-coding RNA (SBIC_LNC003109)". Lineage: Eukaryota; Viridiplantae; Streptophyta; Magnoliopsida; Poales; Poaceae. The record is from RNAcentral.
GUACUUCACUUAUCACUCGUCUAGCCUUUAAUCUUCGCUUACUAGAAAACUCAUCGCUGGACUUCAUAGAUGAGUUAAGAAUUUAUCAUGGCUGUGACACGUUUAGACAAGCUCGGAUGUUAAAGAAAGAGGGGAAUGUAAUGUAUAUGCUAUAUGAUGAUAAAGGCAAGAUUCGGUUACCUAACCCGAACCUUGGCAUCUACGUUGUUCAAAACUUUUUGAUUGAGAUUGC